This 519-nucleotide ribosomal RNA is filed under the name uncultured Entrophospora. RNAcentral describes it as "SSU rRNA". It matches the Rfam family "Eukaryotic small subunit ribosomal RNA", at positions 570 to 1086 of the family's 1831-position model. The record is from RNAcentral. Lineage: Eukaryota; Fungi; Glomeromycota; Glomeromycetes; Entrophosporales; Entrophosporaceae.
GCAGCCGCGGUAAUUCCAGCUCCAAUAGCGUAUAUUAAAGUUGUUGCAGUUAAAAAGCUCGUAGUUGAAUUUCGGGAUUGACACAUCGGUCGUGCCUUAAGGGGCAUGAACUGGUGUAGUCAAUUUCUCACCUUCUGGAGAACCGCGAUGCCCUUAAUUGGGUGUCACGGGGAACCAGGACCUUUACUUUGAAAAAUUAGAGUGUUUAAAGCAGGCAUUUUGCUUGAAUACAUUAGCAUGGAAUAAUAAAAUAGGACGGCAUGAUUCUAUUUUGUUGGUUUCUAGGAUCACCGUAAUGAUUAAUAGGGAUAGUUGGGGGCAUUAGUAUUCAAUUGUCAGAGGUGAAAUUCUUGGAUUUAUUGAAGACUAACUACUGCGAAAGCAUUUGCCAAGGAUGUUUUCAUUAAUCAAGAACGAAAGUUAGGGGAUCGAAGACGAUCAGAUACCGUCGUAGUCUUAACCAUAAACUAUGCCGACUAGGAAUCAGACGAUGUUAAUUUUUAAUGACUCGUUUGGCAC